This is a non-coding RNA of Balaenoptera ricei (Rice's whale), 73 nucleotides long. Lineage: Eukaryota; Metazoa; Chordata; Mammalia; Artiodactyla; Balaenopteridae. The record is from the annotation of a RefSeq genome assembly.
UCCCUGGUGGUCCAGUGGUUAAGACUCCGCGCUACCAAUGCCGGGGGCCUGGGUUCGAUCCCUGGUUAGGGAA